RNAcentral lists this ribosomal RNA (514 nucleotides) under uncultured bacterium. Its description in RNAcentral is "bacterial SSU rRNA". It matches the Rfam family "Bacterial small subunit ribosomal RNA", at positions 34 to 518 of the family's 1533-position model. The record is from RNAcentral.
CGCUGGCGGCGUGCCCUAAUACAUGCAGGUCGAACGGCUUUUCUAUGGAAGCUUGCUUCCACUGAGAAGAUAGUGGCGAACGGGUGAGUAACACGUGGGUAACCUGCCCAUAAGAGGGGGGAUAACAUCCGGAAACGGGUGCUAAUACCGCAUAGUUUUCUUGAUCGCAUGAUUGAGAAAGGAAAGACGGCCUUUGUGCUGUCGCUUAUGGAUGGACCCGCGGCGUAUUAGUUAGUUGGUGAGGUAACGGCUCACCAAGACGAUGAUACGUAGCCGACCUGAGAGGGUGAUCGGCCACAUUGGGACUGAGACACGGCCCAAACUCCUACGGGAGGCAGCAGUAGGGAAUCUUCCGCAAUGGACGAAAGUCUGACGGAGCAACGCCGCGUGAGUGAAGAAAAGGUUUUCGGAUCGUAAAACUCUGUUGUCAGAGAAGAACAAGUUGGAGAGUAACUGCUCCAGCCUUGACGGUAUCUGACCAGAAAGCCACGGCUAACUACGUGCCAGCCGCAGC